GAUGAACGCUGGCGGCGUGCCUAAUACAUGCAAGUCGAGCGAACAGACGAGGAGCUUGCUCCUCUGACAUUAGCGGCGGACGGGUGAGUAACACGUGGAUAACCUACCUAUAAGACUGGGAUAACUUCGGGAAACCGGAGCUAAUACCGGAUAAUAUAUUGAACCGCAUGGUUCAAUAGUGAAAGACGGUUUUGCUGUCACUUAUAGAUGGAUCCGCGCCGCAUUAGCUAGUUGGUAAGGUAACAGCUUACCAAGGCAACGAUGCGUAGCCGACCUGAGAGGGUGAUCGGCCACACUGGAACUGAGACACGGUCCAGACUCCUACGGGAGGCAGCAGUAGGGAAUCUUCCGCAAUGGGCGAAAGCCUGACGGAGCAACGCCGCGUGAGUGAUGAAGGUCUUCGGAUCGUAAAACUCUGUUAUUAGGGAAGAACAAAUGUGUAAGUAACUAUGCACGUCUUGACGGUACCUAAUCAGAAAGCCACGGCUAACUACGUG
This 497-nucleotide ribosomal RNA is filed under the name uncultured bacterium. RNAcentral describes it as "partial 16S ribosomal RNA". It matches the Rfam family "Bacterial small subunit ribosomal RNA", at positions 28 to 507 of the family's 1533-position model. The record is from RNAcentral.